Molecule: non-coding RNA, 72 nt
Organism: Aedes aegypti (yellow fever mosquito)
Lineage: Eukaryota; Metazoa; Arthropoda; Insecta; Diptera; Culicidae
Source: Rfam
GGCUCGGUAGCUUAGUUGGUAAAGCGCUCGUCUAGCAUACAAGAGUCCUGGGUUCAAAUCCCAGUCGAGCAC